RNAcentral lists this ribosomal RNA (523 nucleotides) under uncultured soil bacterium. RNAcentral describes it as "bacterial SSU rRNA". It matches the Rfam family "Bacterial small subunit ribosomal RNA", at positions 8 to 526 of the family's 1533-position model. The record is from RNAcentral.
AGAGUUUGAUCCUGGCUCNGAUUGAACGCUGGCGGCAUGCCUUACACAUGCAAGUCGAACGGCAGCACGGGAGCAAUCCUGGUGGCGAGUGGCGAACGGGUGAGUAAUACAUCGGAACGUGCCCAGUUGUGGGGGAUAGCCCGGCGAAAGCCGGAUUAAUACCGCAUACGACCUACGGGUGAAAGCGGGGGAUCGCAAGACCUCGCGCAAUUGGAGCGGCCGAUGGCAGAUUAGCUUGUUGGUGGGGUAAAAGCCUACCAAGGCGACGAUCUGUAGCUGGUCUGAGAGGACGACCAGCCACACUGGGACUGAGACACGGCCCAGACUCCUACGGGAGGCAGCAGUGGGGAAUUUUGGACAAUGGGCGCAAGCCUGAUCCAGCCAUGCCGCGUGUGGGAAGAAGGCCUUCGGGUUGUAAACCACUUUUGUCAGGGAAGAAACGGUCUGAUCUAAUAAAUCGGACUAAUGACGGUACCUGAAGAAUAAGCACCGGCUAACUACGUGCCAGCCGCCGCGGUAAUUC